AACGAACGCUGGCGGCAGGCCUAACACAUGCAAGUCGAGCGCCCCAGCGAUGGGGAGCGGCGGACGGGUGAGUAACGCGUGGGAACGUGCCUCUUGCUACGGAAUAGCCUCGGGAAACUGGGAGUAAUACCGUAUGUGCCCUACGGGGGAAAGAUUUAUCGGCAAGAGAUCGGCCCGCGUUGGAUUAGGUAGUUGGUGGGGUAAUGGCCUACCAAGCCGACGAUCCAUAGCUGGUUUGAGAGGAUGAUCAGCCACACUGGGACUGAGACACGGCCCAGACUCCUACGGGAGGCAGCAGUGGGGAAUCUUAGACAAUGGGCGCAAGCCUGAUCUAGCCAUGCCGCGUGAGCGAUGAAGGCCUUAGGGUUGUAAAGCUCUUUCAGUGGGGAAGAUAAUGACUGUACCCACAGAAGAAGCCCCGGCUAACUCCGUGCCAGCAGCCGCGGUAA
This 449-nucleotide ribosomal RNA is filed under the name uncultured bacterium. Its description in RNAcentral is "bacterial SSU rRNA". It matches the Rfam family "Bacterial small subunit ribosomal RNA", at positions 29 to 523 of the family's 1533-position model. The record is from RNAcentral.